UCAUGAUUUGCCACAUAGGACCAUUAUUUAUGUGCUACACCACCCCCUCUGUAACACCCCGGAAACAUAUACUUUAUAUUAUAAAUAAAAGACGGUAAUGGUCGAGAUAAAAUAACUAGGAAUAAAUAACCUAGUUAGUUAAAAAUCUUGAAAUAAUAGGAAAAAUUAGGGUUAAAACACAUUAUAUAAAACUUGAGGAAAGUUGACGGGCCAAAAAGUGACAAAACUGAAAAUGAUUUUUAUUAAAUAAAACAUAAAAACCAAAACACACACACUAAGUGUGUGUUCUGGUCGUAGAAAGCACAGGGGCGAACAAGGGUUCCUCCAACCUAACCCUUGCAAAAAUUGAUCAAUUGAGAAGCCAAAUCGAAAUCCAAGCUCAGUGAAGGGAUCACAAGGCAAGGAAACCGAGUCUUCAAGCGGAUAAGCCAGAUUAGAUACGCGCUUGAAAGGAAAGCUUUAAAGGUCCAGAGAGUGGAACCGCUGGAAAACAGACUCCCCCGUGGCACGCGAGGGGAUGAGUAAAUGCUGGCGCGACACGCGGGCCCUGUCGCGGCCCCCGAACGAAUUAAAGAAAUCUCUCGCGUGGCGCGAGAGACUUAGAUCUGAAUUUUUAUUUUUGAUUUCGUUUAUUUGAUAUUGGAACUUGUUUAUUCUUGUUUCUAUGUUAUCAAAACUAACUUUUAAGUUGGUUUUGACAUUAGGUGAAUGUAGCUACCAUCCAAAUGCCGAUCAAGCAACGAAGUGAACCGAACACAUACUUAAAGAAGCUUCCGCGAUGUCUUUCUUUUGUUUAGUUUAAAAAUGAAAGUUGUAAACACUUGAUACUAUAUUUUGAAUCCUUUAGUCAUGUAAGAACGUAACUUGACAAAGUUUUUGAAGGGUUGUAUUUUCACAU
Helianthus annuus (common sunflower) is the source of this 898-nucleotide long non-coding RNA. RefSeq lists it as uncharacterized. The record is from RefSeq and is a predicted model, not a curated record. NCBI's taxonomy places the organism in Eukaryota, Viridiplantae, Streptophyta, Magnoliopsida, Asterales, Asteraceae. The transcript has 3 exons.